This 815-nucleotide ribosomal RNA is filed under the name uncultured Verrucomicrobiota bacterium. Its description in RNAcentral is "bacterial SSU rRNA". It matches the Rfam family "Bacterial small subunit ribosomal RNA", at positions 92 to 890 of the family's 1533-position model. The record is from RNAcentral. Lineage: Bacteria; Pseudomonadati; Verrucomicrobiota.
AUAGCGGCAAACGGGUUAGGAACACGUAAGUAAUUUUCCCUUUAUUCAGGAAUAGCCCUAUGAGAAUAGGAGUAAUAUCUGAUGGUACGGUGAAGUUGCAUGAUUUUACCGUUAAAGGCGGGGACCGCAAGGCCUGCCGAUAAAGGAUGAGCUUGCGUAGCAUCAGCUAGUUGGUAGGGUAACGGCCUACCAAGGCUAAGACGCUUAGCUGGUCUGAGAGGACGACCAGCAACACUGGGACUGAGACACUGCCCAGACUCCUACGGGAGGCUGCAGUCGAGAAUAUUUAGCAAUGGGCGAAAGCCUGACUAUGCGACGCCGCGUGAAGGAUGAAGGUCUUCGGAUCGUAUACUUCUUUUGGCAGGGAAGAAAACUCCGCAUUUAACUAAUGCGGGGCUGACGGUACCUGCAGAAUCAGCCACGGCUAACUCCGUGCCAGCAGCCGCGGUAAUACGGAGGUGGCUAGCGUUACUCGGAAUUAUUGGGUGUAAAGGGCAAGUAGGCGGCUUAACAAGUGGGGGGUGAAAUACUCCGGCUCAAUCGGAGAACUGCCUUCCAAACUGUUAGGCUUGAGUGUGACAGAGGAAAAUGGAAUUCUCGGUGUAAGGGUGAAAUCUGUAGAUAUCGAGAAGAACACCAGCGGCGAAGGCGAUUUUCUGGGUCACUACUGACGCUAAAUUGCGAAAGCUAGGGGAGCAAACAGAAUUANAUACUCUGGUAGUCCUAGCCGUAAACGAUGAGCACUAGGUGUUGGUCCAUUAGGAUCGGCGCCGCAGCUAACGCAUUAAGUGCUCCACCUGGGGACUACGGUCGCA